Molecule: ribosomal RNA, 426 nt
Filed under: Priestia aryabhattai
Lineage: Bacteria; Bacillati; Bacillota; Bacilli; Caryophanales; Bacillaceae
Description: bacterial SSU rRNA
Rfam family: Bacterial small subunit ribosomal RNA
Source: RNAcentral
UGCGUAGUCUGACGGAGCACGCCGCGUGAGUGAUGAAGGCUUUCGGGUCGUAAAACUCUGUUGUUAGGGAAGAACAAGUACGAGAGUAACUGCUCGUACCUUGACGGUACCUAACCAGAAAGCCACGGCUAACUACGUGCCAGCAGCCGCGGUAAUACGUAGGUGGCAAGCGUUAUCCGGAAUUAUUGGGCGUAAAGCGCGCGCAGGCGGUUUCUUAAGUCUGAUGUGAAAGCCCACGGCUCAACCGUGGAGGGUCAUUGGAAACUGGGGAACUUGAGUGCAGAAGAGAAAAGCGGAAUUCCACGUGUAGCGGUGAAAUGCGUAGAGAUGUGGAGGAACACCAGUGGCGAAGGCGGCUUUUUGGUCUGUAACUGACGCUGAGGCGCGAAAGCGUGGGGAGCAAACAGGAUUAGUAACCCCUGGUAA